GAUGAACGCUGGCGGCGUGCCUAAUACAUGCAAGUCGAGCGAACGGACGAGAAGCUUGCUUCUCUGAUGUUAGCGGCGGACGGGUGAGUAACACGUGGAUAACCUACCUAUAAGACUGGGAUAACUUCGGGAGACCGGAGCUAAUACCGGAUAAUAUUUUGAACCGCAUGAUUCAAAAGUGAAAGACGGUCUUGCUGUCACUUAUAGAUGGAUCCGCGCUGCAUUAGCUAGUUGGUAAGGUAACGGCUUACCAAGGCAACGAUGCAUAGCCGACCUGAGAGGGUGAUCGGCCACACUGGAACUGAGACACGGUCCAGACUCCUACGGGAGGCAGCAGUAGGGAAUCUUCCGCAAUGGGCGAAAGCCUGACGGAGCAACGCCGCGUGAGUGAUGAAGGUCUUCGGAUCGUAAAACUCUGUUAUUAGGGAAGAACAUAUGUGUAAGUAACUGUGCACAUCUUGACGGUACCUAAUCAGAAAGCCACGGCUAACUACGUG
Molecule: ribosomal RNA, 497 nt
Filed under: uncultured bacterium
Lineage: Bacteria
Description: partial 16S ribosomal RNA
Rfam family: Bacterial small subunit ribosomal RNA
Source: RNAcentral